CCGUCGCUCCUACCGAUUGAAUGA
Molecule: non-coding RNA, 24 nt
Filed under: Arabidopsis thaliana (thale cress)
Lineage: Eukaryota; Viridiplantae; Streptophyta; Magnoliopsida; Brassicales; Brassicaceae
Source: RNAcentral